RNAcentral lists this ribosomal RNA (240 nucleotides) under uncultured bacterium. RNAcentral's name for it is "partial 16S ribosomal RNA". It matches the Rfam family "Bacterial small subunit ribosomal RNA", at positions 15 to 245 of the family's 1533-position model. The record is from RNAcentral.
GAGCAUGGCUCAGGAUGAACGCUAGCUACAGGCUUAACACAUGCAAGUCGAGGGGCAGCAUUUUAGUUUGCUUGCAAACUAAAGAUGGCGACCGGCGCACGGGUGAGUAACACGUAUCCAACCUGCCGAUAACUCUGGGAUAGCCUUUCGAAAGAAAGAUUAAUACCGGAUGGCAUAGGAUUAUCGCAUGAUAAUCCUAUUAAAGAAUUUCGGUUAUCGAUGGGGAUGCGUUCCAUUAGG